This 465-nucleotide ribosomal RNA is filed under the name Vreelandella stevensii. RNAcentral describes it as "partial 16S ribosomal RNA". It matches the Rfam family "Bacterial small subunit ribosomal RNA", at positions 338 to 795 of the family's 1533-position model. The record is from RNAcentral. Lineage: Bacteria; Pseudomonadati; Pseudomonadota; Gammaproteobacteria; Oceanospirillales; Halomonadaceae.
CCUACGGGUGGCUGCAGUGGGGAAUAUUGGACAAUGGGGGCAACCCUGAUCCAGCCAUGCCGCGUGUGUGAAGAAGGCCCUCGGGUUGUAAAGCACUUUCAGUGAGGAAGAACGCCUGGUGGUUAAUACCCAUCAGGAAAGACAUCACUCACAGAAGAAGCACCGGCUAACUCCGUGCCAGCAGCCGCGGUAAUACGGAGGGUGCGAGCGUUAAUCGGAAUUACUGGGCGUAAAGCGCGCGUAGGUGGCUUGAUAAGCCGGUUGUGAAAGCCCCGGGCUCAACCUGGGAACGGCAUCCGGACCUGUCAAGCUAGAGUGCAGGAGAGGAAGGUAGAAUUCCCGGUGUAGAGGUGAAAUGCGUAGAGAUCGGGAGGAAUACCAGUGGCGAAGGCGGCCUUCUGGACUGACACUGACACUGAGGUGCGAAAGCGUGGGUAGCAAACAGGAUUAGAUACCCUAGUAGUC